CAAUGAGGUUUCUCUUAAAUUAUUUCUCACAUUCUUUUUGUAUUCUUGAAAGAUAUUUCUUUAAGAUUAGUGAUGCAAGUUUAAUACACUAUAAACAAAUAUUCUGAAUAUAUUUCAGAUUUAUUCAUGUAUAUGUCAGUCAUUUUUCAGAGACUAAGGUAUAUAUAAGGAGUAGAAUCAACCUCUUGUAACAGCUGAAAAUUUUUUGAAUGCCAAAAAAUGUUACAUUUAGUUCUUAAAUGUUACAUCCAUAUUUGAGCGAAGCAACUUCUGUGGAGUCUGCUUCAUAGAAAUGAUAAUUAUUUCUUAAAUUUUUUUAGCUUCAUCCUGUACAAAACAGUUUAUUGCCUGUAUCUGAUGGUAGGAUUUCUCCAUACACAACUUUUCAAGUCUAUAUUUAUUAUACACAACUACUCUUGUUACAAAGCAAACUACAUGCAUACCCUAAGAGGUUGUUGUUAACUGACAAUUGGCCUGCUCUAUGUGUUGGAACCUCUCUCAACCAAGAUCAUUGUGGUGUCAGGGUACAAGAAAGCUGAGUCUUCUGUCAUUAAUAUCUGAUUAUUGCCCAUAAUCCCAAGUUAAAGGCAUAUAUAUUCACUCCUCAUAACCUCUUGUAUCUUUGCAUAAUACCUCAGGUGCUGGAUUCUGCUACCACUACACUCCAUUGACUUCACAGACCAACUUUUACAACAGGUUAUAAGGUUCUCUGACUAUCAACAAUAUAGCUAUAACAUAGCCAUGGGAGGGUGGCUAGCAGGUUUGAAGCUAGACAGAGGAACAACUGAGUAAUUCUGUCAUCCAAUGAGGAAAGGAAAGUUUCAAGUAAGUUAUGUCUAUGAGUAAAAUGGUAAGUAUGAGUAUUAACUAUGUUUUAACUUUAUAUUUCAUUUUGAGAGAAUAAUUAUUGUUUAUGUUAUACAUUUUUUUUUUUCUUUUUUUCUUUUUUACAGCUCAUAAUCUAGUUCAGAAGUAUGUGAAACGUCUUUUACAAGGUGGUCCUGUUUUCAGCUUUCAAUUUGGUACAUUUUAUUUAUGUCAGAAUUUAAUAUCUAAUUUUCAUAUGUAACUAAAUAUAAUAUAAAUUAAUUUAUCCAAUAUGUUUUCAUUAUAUCAUAAUAGCUAAUUUCUACUGGACCAGUCAUUCAUUUUAAUUGUAUAUUACCCAGCAUGACAAAUUCAUCAUACAAGUUUCCAUUGGCUUUAAAUGAGCAGAGUAGAUAAAGUAUCCUUUGUGCUGGGUAUGACAAAUUUGUCUAGUUUCCUCUGUCAGAGGUGACCAACUGGAGGCUAGUUGGUUAAGCCUGAGGGGAGCUAUGCCCAAUGAACAGAACAUAUGUGUAGUUUGGAAUCUCCUCAUUUUUAUAAUGUUUUAUGACCUUGAUGACAGAAUUUGCCAUUGUUGUUACAAUGAUGAAAUAAGGACUUACAAAUGUCAUUAUCUAACAUGAUGGCAUAUGUCAUGAUCGCAAAAUUGCUUUUUGAGGUAUUUGCGUCAAAAAAUAACUUUGACUUUAGUCAGUGCAUAUACACUACUGACCAAAAUUAACACGCCACUCUCACACUAUCAGCUCAGUUCAAAAUCAUAUUCAUAUUCAAUUCAAAAUCAAUUCAUAUAAACAGCUUCACUGUUUAUAUGAAUUUUUCUUGAAUCACUGAAUAAAAUAAAUAUAAAUAUAAAAUAAAUAAAAUCCAAUAAAAAUCAUUGAAAGUUUCAUGUAGAUUACCAAGGAAAAGGUUUUGUUAAAAAUUCCCUCUUUUGUCUAGCCUUGCUUUGAUUAUGGUUUCUUUUACUUUGGUACUUCAAACAAUCUGUACUUGACUAAUUUAUUGCAAUUUUCAUCAGAUUUUCACCUGUUUUACAAAGAGUUCUUUAAAUAUUUUGGUGAGUAAAUUAUUUUUUAGGCAAAUUCAUUUUGAAAUGUGACUUUAAGAUGUUUUUGGAAUCUAAUUAUCCACUUAUCAUUGAAAAACAGUAUUUGAUUACUUAGGCCCAAUUUAUGUAUGGGCCCAGUUCCUAGGCUGAGUAUAGAAGAUAGGAUGAGAGUUGUUGUUAUCCACAAAGAAGGCAGCAAUAAAAUUACUGAAAGUAUGACAGUAGCAAGUCUACUGUGCAGGAGAUAGUUAAGAAGCACAAAGAAACAGGAACAGGGAGGUCAAGAAGAAUUUUGACAUUGACUUGAAUGGUUGGACAAUGAGGAGAAGACUUCUGGAGAGUGGUUUCAGGUAUUGUAAGACCAAGAAGAUGCCAGAGGUUUCAUCUGGGAAGAAGCCCUGAUGAGAGCAGAUUUUGCUUAAUAAGCGAUAGGCCUGUAUCGGGCAGAAUAAGAAAAGGAGAGGAAUACCUUCCUGUAUUCCUGAAUCUCACAGGUAGGCAUGGUGGUGGUAGUAUCAUGGUCAGGGACUGUACUACUAGCAAAGGUGUUGACUGAUUGUACAGAAUCAAUGGAACAGUUAACAGAGAGUAUUACUACUGUGCAGUUCCAUCUCUAAUCCAUUAUUUUGAGGAUAGUGAAGCAGUAUUCCAGCAGGACAGUGCUCCCUGCCACACUGCAAAGAUUAAGACCUGGGUGGCCAAAAAUAAGGUGACAGUUUUGGAAUGGCAUGGUAAUAUUCCUGAUAUGAACCCUAUUGAGCAUUUUUGGGACUAUAUUGCAAAGAAAAUUGAAUCUGCAGUGUUUAAAAACAAUGGGAGAAGGUAAACAAAGAAUGGCAUAACAUUCAUAUUGAAUAUAUAACUAAGUUGUAUGAGAGUAAGAAUGAAGAAUCAAUGCAAUAAUAAAGGCAGAAGGAUGAUCUACCAGAUAUUAGAGCUAUUUCUUUAUGUAAAAGAUGUAAAAAUAAGAUAUAAGUGUUCUAAAUGACAAAUUUAAUCAUUUAUUGUAAGUCUGUGGCUAUAAAUUCAUCAGUGACUCUAAAAAUAUGUGAUUUUCUUAAAUAAAACCAAGAAAAAUGCUUUCCCAGGAAGGGUGGCGUAUUAAUUUUAGCCAUUAGUGUAACUCUUCAAUACCAGAACAUUAUUUUGCGUGGAUAAGGGAAAUAUAUGUGGUACAUAAUUAGUCAUUAUGUUUUUCAAUUAGGAAAUAAACUGUGAAAGAAAA
This 3101-nucleotide long non-coding RNA is filed under the name Penaeus monodon (black tiger shrimp). Its description in RNAcentral is "uncharacterized LOC119569464". The record is from RNAcentral. Lineage: Eukaryota; Metazoa; Arthropoda; Malacostraca; Decapoda; Penaeidae.